Molecule: ribosomal RNA, 468 nt
Filed under: uncultured bacterium
Lineage: Bacteria
Description: partial 16S ribosomal RNA
Rfam family: Bacterial small subunit ribosomal RNA
Source: RNAcentral
GACGAACGCUGGCGGCGUGCUUAACACAUGCAAGUCGAACGGAAAGGCCCUGCUUUUGUGGGGUGCUCGAGUGGCGAACGGGUGAGUAACACGUGAGUAACCUGCCCUUGACUUUGGGAUAACUUCAGGAAACUGGGGCUAAUACCGGAUAGGAGCUCCUGCUGCAUGGUGGGGGUUGGAAAGUUUCGGCGGUUGGGGAUGGACUCGCGGCUUAUCAGCUUGGUGGUGGGGUAGUGGCUUACCAAGGCUGUGACGGGUAGCCGGCCUGAGAGGGUGACCGGCCACAUUGGGACUGAGAUACGGCCCAGACUCCUACGGGAGGCAGCAGUGGGGAAUAUUGCACAAAGGGCGGAAGCCUGAUGCAGCAACGCCGCGUGCGGGAUGACGGCCUUCGGGUUGUAAACCGCUUUCGCCUGUGACGAAGCGUGAGUGACGGUAAUGGGUAAAGAAGCACCGGCUAACUACGUG